CUUUCCCUCUUCCUUCCUCUCUGAAGUCAAUAAAAAUAUAUGGAAACAAAAACACAGCACAAAAACAUGACACUAAAGUACGACCUCUCUGCUGCCUUAGAGAAAGCUAAGUCCCCCAGGUGACCCGUCAGCCCUGGCAGGGGUGUUCCAUGUCGGGGCCCAGCGUUAGGGCGGCCCUGACAAUUCCAGGUGGUGAAAAAAAUGAACCUCCAAACAUCCAAGUUCAAAGUUUCUCUCUGCUUUUCCGCUUACGGGCAGCCGCAGAAGCCCAGUUCCGUCCAGUGUGACCUCCACCUGUAGGGACAAGCCGCACAGUGCCCGCCGCAGACGAGGUAUUUUAGCUCACAUGUAUGUUAUGAAAAUCACAGCAUCAUGGCAUGUGCGGCUCUAAGGUUUAUCCAUGAUCGCUGCACCAGGACACGCCCCUGGCCACACAGAAAGCCUGCAGCUCCCUCCCCUCUGAGAGAAAGAAAUCAGCGUCACGGGAUCAUCCCGACCUCAGCUGCCCCUGCCUGCCAGGCCCCGCGGCUCAUGGUUCACACGUGUUCACUCCGACCAGCGCUCACACCCGCUGUGAGGCAGCUGCCAUUGUUCUCACUCCACGAAGGAGGACCUGAAGCUCAGAGCACGAUCGCACGUCUGAGAGCGUCACGCGGGCGGAAUCCGCCAGAGGAAGACGGGCGUCCCGCGGUCUCCCUCCCAUGUGGGACCUCGUGAACCAGACGAACUGGCCCAGAGACGCAGAGGCACGAGCAGACGGCUGAGCCUCAGA
Long non-coding RNA from Myotis brandtii (Brandt's bat), 772 nucleotides. RefSeq lists it as uncharacterized. The record is from RefSeq and is a predicted model, not a curated record. The transcript has 3 exons. Lineage: Eukaryota; Metazoa; Chordata; Mammalia; Chiroptera; Vespertilionidae.